UACGGAGGGGGCUAGCGUUGUUCGGAAUUACUGGGCGUAAAGCGCGCGUAGGCGGAUUUGCCAGUCAGGGGUGAAAUGCCAGGGCUUAACCUUGGAACUGCCUUUGAUACUGCAAGUCUGGAGUACGGGAGAGGUGAGUGGAAUUCCGAGUGUAGAGGUGAAAUUCGUAGAUAUUCGGAGGAACACCAGAAGCGAAGGCGGCUCACUGGCCCGAUACUGACGCUGAGGCGCGAAAGCGUGGGGAGCAAACAGG
This 253-nucleotide ribosomal RNA is filed under the name uncultured bacterium. RNAcentral's name for it is "partial 16S ribosomal RNA". It matches the Rfam family "Bacterial small subunit ribosomal RNA", at positions 524 to 776 of the family's 1533-position model. The record is from RNAcentral.